RNAcentral lists this ribosomal RNA (268 nucleotides) under uncultured Streptococcaceae bacterium. RNAcentral describes it as "partial 16S ribosomal RNA". It matches the Rfam family "Bacterial small subunit ribosomal RNA", at positions 541 to 809 of the family's 1533-position model. Lineage: Bacteria; Bacillati; Bacillota; Bacilli; Lactobacillales; Streptococcaceae. The record is from RNAcentral.
UUAUCCGGAUUUAUUGGGCGUACCAGCGAGCGCAUUGCGGUUAAUAAGUCUGAAGUUAAAGGCUGUGGCUUAACCAUAGUACGCUUUGGAAACUGUUUAACUUGAGUGCAGAAGGGGAGAGUGGAAUUCCGUGUGUAGCGGUGAAAUGCGUAGAUAUAUGGAGGAACACCGGUGGCGAAAGCGGCUCUCUGGUCUGUAACUGACGCUGAGGCUCGAAAGCGUGGGGAGCAAACAGGAUUAAUACCCUGGUAGUCAAGGGCGAAUUCGC